RNAcentral lists this long non-coding RNA (790 nucleotides) under Struthio camelus australis. Its description in RNAcentral is "lncRNA (ENSSCUG00000008497.1)". The record is from RNAcentral. Lineage: Eukaryota; Metazoa; Chordata; Aves; Struthioniformes; Struthionidae.
GAGCCAUCCCCGUUGGACACGAUGCUGGAACCGGGCUGUCGUGGUGGCAUACGGUUUAUUAAUUGCUCGUUAGCUGCAGCGCUUCGUUUGGCAUGCGUGCGUGCGGGCAGGCGCGAGGCGGAGUUGUGCCAGCAAUGACCAGCUCGGAGACACGACAAGUUACCGCAUGGUAGAAAAGUACAAACACACACGGGACGUGCCAUGGCAGCCGGGCGCUGGGCUAUGUACAGAGCAGGGCAGGACGGCGGGAGCCAGGGAAGCCAGAGGCACGCCGGAGCCGGAGGAUGCUGGAGGCACGCCGGAGCCAGCGAUGCCAGAGGCAUGCCGGAGCCGGAGGAUGCUCGAGGCACACCAGGGAUGCUGGAAGCACACCGGAGCUGGAGGAUGUUCGAGGCGCACCAGAGCCGGGGAUGCUGGAGCCGGAGAUGCUGGAAGCACGCCUGAGCCGGAGGAUGCUCGAGGCGCACCGGAGCCGGGGAUGCUGGAGCCGGGGAUGCCGGAGGCAUGCCAGAGCCGGAGGAUGCCCGAGGCAUGCUGGAGGCAGGGGAUGCCGGAGGCGCACUGGAGGUGGAGCACGCCAGAAGCACGCCGAGGCCAGGGACGCUCGAUCCCCAGCUCCCCUGGGUGCUCAGGCCUCGCUGGAUGCGUGCAGGCUGCAGCCCAGGGGGCUGUGCAGGAGGAAGAUCCGGGCUCCAGGGAGAACCUAGACAUCCCGAGGACCCGUCGGGGCCACCCGACCUGGGGACAGGCCCCAUGGGGACCCACGCACCCCUGUGCCCACUCCGACAGG